Gossypium arboreum is the source of this 107-nucleotide small nucleolar RNA. It matches the Rfam family "Plant small nucleolar RNA R71". Rfam says of the family: R71 is a member of the C/D box family of snoRNAs containing the C (UGAUGA) and D (CUGA) box motifs. Multiple nearly identical copies of this snoRNA have been identified in Arabidopsis, and it is thought to function as a 2'-O-ribose methylation guide for 18S ribosomal RNA. NCBI's taxonomy places the organism in Eukaryota, Viridiplantae, Streptophyta, Magnoliopsida, Malvales, Malvaceae. The record is from Rfam.
AACCUAUGAUGAGGGCAUCUUCUCAAAAGAUCUUUAAAUCUCUCUCAUGCAUCAUAUAAUGUCUCCAACUCAAUUUGAGAAAGAGAAGAGAUAUCCUUCCUCAAGUU